This is a ribosomal RNA of 414 nucleotides. It matches the Rfam family "Bacterial small subunit ribosomal RNA", at positions 1 to 377 of the family's 1533-position model.
GAUGAGCCAAGAUUUGUAGCCAUAAGCUACUAAUGAUUUUUAACUGAAGAGUUUGAUCAUGGCUCAGAUUGAACGCUGGCGGCAGGCUUAACACAUGCAAGUCGAGCGGGGAAAGGUAGCUUGCUACCUUACCUAGCGGCGGACGGGUGAGUAAUGCUUAGGAAUCUGCCUAUUAGUGGGGGACAACAUUUCGAAAGGAAUGCUAAUACCGCAUACGCCCUACGGGGGAAAGCAGGGGACCUUCGGGCCUUGCGCUAAUAGAUGAGCCUAAGUCGGAUUAGCUAGUUGGUGGGGUAAAGGCCUACCAAGGCGACGAUCUGUAGCGGGUCUGAGAGGAUGAUCCGCCACACUGGGACUGAGACACGGCCCAGACUCCUACGGGAGGCAGCAGUGGGGAAUAUUGGACAAUGGGGG